Molecule: ribosomal RNA, 670 nt
Filed under: Pleurotus floridanus
Lineage: Eukaryota; Fungi; Basidiomycota; Agaricomycetes; Agaricales; Pleurotaceae
Description: eukaryotic LSU rRNA
Source: RNAcentral
ACAAGGUUUCCGUAGGUGAACCUGCGGAAGGAUCAUUAAUGAAUUCACUAUGGAGUUGUUGCUGGCCUCUAGGGGCAUGUGCACGCUUCACUAGUCUUUCAACCACCUGUGAACUUUUGAUAGAUCUGUGAAGUCGUCUCUCAAGUCGUCAGACUUGGUUGCUGGGAUWUAAACGUCUCGGUGUGACUACGCAGUCUAUUUACUUACACACCCCAAAUGUAUGUCUACGAAUGUCAUUUAAUGGGCCUUGUGCCUAUAAACCAUAAUACAACUUUCAACAACGGAUCUCUUGGCUCUCGCAUCGAUGAAGAACGCAGCGAAAUGCGAUAAGUAAUGUGAAUUGCAGAAUUCAGUGAAUCAUCGAAUCUUUGAACGCACCUUGCGCCCCUUGGUAUUCCGAGGGGCAUGCCUGUUUGAGUGUCAUUAAAUUCUCAAACUCACUUUGGUUUCUUUCCAAUUGUGAUGUUUGGAUUGUUGGGGGCUGCUGGCCUUGACAGGUCGGCUCCUCUUAAAUGCAUUAGCAGGACUUCUCAUUGCCUCUGCGCAUGAUGUGAUAAUUAUCACUCAUCAAUAGCACGCAUGAAUAGAGUCCAGCUCUCUAAUCGUCCGCAAGGACAAUUUGACAAUUUGACCUCAAAUCAGGUAGGACUACCCGCUGAACUUAAGCAUA